Molecule: long non-coding RNA, 659 nt
Organism: Neomonachus schauinslandi (Hawaiian monk seal)
Lineage: Eukaryota; Metazoa; Chordata; Mammalia; Carnivora; Phocidae
Exons: 4
Source: RefSeq, a predicted model, not a curated record
UUUCCGGUCGGCCCCUCGUUCGCUGCCGCGCGCCGGCCGGCUGGCCGCUCGGGUCGGUUGGCGGCUGCCUGGUGUCCGAGGGAUCCGGCCGCUGCUUCCCUACUUCCGGGGAGCUGUUUCGGGCAGUUCCAGACCGUCCAGGAUUGUGGGAGAGUGGAGGAUAAGGAAUCGGCCCAGGCGUGUUCACUUUGCAUCAGCAUUUCCUGUUGUAGCCAGCAGGGUAUCAGAGCAACUCUGUGAGAACAGCUGCGGGUGUAGUCUGGAACUCAACACUCGGUACCAGCCCGGGACCUCUGUGCCCCUCCGACUUCUCAGCACCUCAUGGGUUUGUUGGGGCAGACCUGGAAGACUUGGAUUGCCCUGCCAGGUUGGGGCCUGCCCACUGACCAGGGAGCCAGCCAAACGCAGCGCCUGGGAGCCUGUGGUGCAGCCUAUCUGCAGGAUGACCGACUGUCACCAGUUGAGAGCUGCCAUGUCAGAAAGCGUUUCAGCAGGCGGUCUCCCUCUACCUGGAGGUUGUACAGACAGACUUGGACUCUUAAUGUGGUAGAAGUUUUUCAGUAUUGGCCCCGACAUCUGCCUAAUUCAUAUUCCUGUAUUAGAAGAAUGCACGUAUUUCACCCAGAAUAUAAUGCUUUAAGUAUGUGGACUGCCUUUCU